AGGAGCGUCAACUCCAAGAUUCCCAAAUGAUUUUUCUACUUGAGGUAGAGAAAUCAACCUAGUUCUCAAAUUUAUAGGGAUGUUCAUUAAAGAACGUCUUAGAUAUCCGUGCUUCUUUUCUGAAGCACGGAUUACAGCCCUCCAUAGGAUGGCCAUAAUCAUUUCAACUCUUGACGGCUUAAAUUUGCAUAAAUCUCCACUAACUU
RNAcentral lists this unclassified non-coding RNA (206 nucleotides) under Hevea brasiliensis (rubber tree). The record is from RNAcentral. Lineage: Eukaryota; Viridiplantae; Streptophyta; Magnoliopsida; Malpighiales; Euphorbiaceae.